Non-coding RNA from Chiloscyllium plagiosum (whitespotted bambooshark), 585 nucleotides. The record is from RefSeq and is a predicted model, not a curated record. NCBI's taxonomy places the organism in Eukaryota, Metazoa, Chordata, Chondrichthyes, Orectolobiformes, Hemiscylliidae.
UCCAUUGUAUUUUCAUUCUACAAUCAAACUCUGAGAAAGGCUGAGUUAUAUUUAUCUGAAAGAAUCAAAGCUGAUUUCCUUGGAUUAACUAAUCAAAAUGGAAGCUGUAGCUGAAAUGCUCAAAGGAAGUUUAGCACCAAGUGGAGAAGGAACCAAAUGAGCCAGUGGCAAUCAACAAAAAGAACCUGCAGAUGUUGGAAUCCAAAGGGGACGAGAGGGGGCUGGACACCAGCGUGGAGCACUCGCAUGGGCCCCAACUAUGCCUGCCUGUUUGUCGACUAAAUCAAACAAUCCCUCUUCAGCACAUAUACAGAGCCAAUCUUGGUCGACAGAAGGCAAGUCUCAGCUUGGAACCGGACAUAGGGAUUGGAUAACCUUUGCAAUUUGUACUCUCCAGGCUAACUUUUGCAUAUCCAAGACAAACUCAUUAGCAUUAAAGAAGCAAUUCAGUUGGUUGAAAGCAGUAAUUCUGGUUGAAAUCAAUUCUAUUGCCAAGACAUUGGAAUUUCCUCCUUAAAUUCCUCACCUCCUUCAAGAUACUCUUUAAGAUGUAUUGUCAAAUUGAGCUUUGUAAUUUUUCUUUGA